This 3487-nucleotide long non-coding RNA is filed under the name Gossypium barbadense (sea-island cotton). RNAcentral's name for it is "long non-coding RNA (GBAR_LNC013034)". The record is from RNAcentral. Lineage: Eukaryota; Viridiplantae; Streptophyta; Magnoliopsida; Malvales; Malvaceae.
GAUGAAAUAUGAAGUUUUAUUAAAAGAAAAAGGGGUGAAAAGAACAAAGUUUUGUCCAUCUUUGUUCAUCAUAGCUGAAAGUUAGAGAAGAGAAAGGAGAGGAGAAAGCUCUUGAGUAUUCGGUCAUUAGGAGGAGGAAAAUUGAAGGUAAGUUCUUGGUACCUUGCUUCUAUUUUGAGGUUCAUGAGUUCUUCUUGAUUCUACCUUAACUCUUGAAGUAUAUUUUGAUUUUUAGUUGUGUUAAGAGCAUUUAUUCAUGAAUUAAAAUGAAGGAAAUGGUUGUUGUUUCAAGUUCUUUUGAUGAAAAAAAUGGAAGAUAGGUGAAGUUGAGCCAAACAAAUGAGCAUGCAUGUGCCUUAGAUGUUAAAGGGAAAAAUCAGCUAACAUGUUGUGCUUUAAAAUGAUGAAAUGGAGAUUAUACUUAAGUAAAAUCAUAGAUAUGUGAUGAAUGAUUGGUGAUAUACAUGUUUAAAUAACAAGCAUGCAAGUUAGGUGUGAAAGAGUGAUUUGGUAAUAAAUCUGCUUGGGACAGCAGCAGUAACGUGACUUUGGAAAAUCACCAUACAUUGUAGGAGAUGAAUUAGAAGCUGAAUAAAUUAUGUAAUUAAAUCUUAUUGAGUCUAGUUUCUAAUGAAAUAAACAAGAACAUAUUUUGAAUCCUGUACAAUGAUAAAUUUGAUUCGUAAUGAAGAGUGGUCAGAUUAGUCAAACAGUGAAACAUGGAAAACUUUGAGAAAAAUCUGGUAUUGAUUGGCUAAACCAAAAAUUCUGAAAAUUUUAUGGAUAGAAGAUAUAUGAGUCUAUUUUAAGGGAAAAUUAAUGGAACUUGAUUUGGAGUUUCGUAGCUCCAGUUAUAAAUAAUUUAGUGAUUGUUGCUCAGGAAGACAGCUUGCAGUGAAAUUAUGAUUAUGUGGUAAACAUUGACAAAAAUUUGUUAAUGAGUUGCUUAUUGUUUUCUUAUAAGCUUACUAUGAUCUGUAGGUGUGGUUGGCCGAAUAUUGUAAGGGGUUAAUACGUAGUUCAUAUUUGAAUAGUUAGAUUAACAUGUUAGUAAUCCAGUUGUAGGCGGUUCGUGUGUGGAUCUCGUCAGCAUAUCGUCGCAAACAGGUGUGUAACUAACACCCUCUUUCUUAGUCUGGAUCGGCAAAAGUCGAAAAGCCGAAAUGCCGAAAUGCCGAAAUGCCGAAAUGCCGAAAUGCCGAAAAUCAGUAUUUUGUAGAUUUGCGAGUGUGCGAAUGCUCAUGAGGUAGAUCGAUUAAUGUUUUUUGCAAGCUGCAAAAUUUGGACUGCAAAGUGCAUGAUUUAUCUGCCCUCGAUAUUUUUGGGCUUAAUGGGCCAAAAUUGGAAUAAUGGGCCUACGGCCCAAUUUGGUAAGAACCCUCGGUACGUGAUUCUGUUAGUACGUGAAAAGUAGGAAUAUGCAUGAAAAACCCUAAAAUAGAUAAAUUACUGAAAUACCUUUAAAAGUGAAAAAUUUACAGUUUUACCCCUACUAGAUAAAUUACCGAAAUACCCCUAGGGUUAAAUUGACCUAAAUGCAUAUUUGACUGUUGUUAUUUACUGCAUACCAUGUUGUUAUUAUCUGAUGCAUGGGAUUGGGAUAUUGACGGAGGAAGUACUGAAAGUGGCUUGUCCACGUACUGGAGGCUUUGCCUCAAGUUACUGUUAACUGAGCAGCAAGGCUGCAACUGUGGAGUGUUGGGCUGGGUGGGUUGAGCUAUUCCCCACAUGGAGUGUAUGGCUGGUACGGGUGGAGUGUAGUGGUUGGUGGGUUGAGUAGUCUCCUCAAAUGGGCUUGCAUAUGUUUACUGAUGUUGCAUGUAUUUUGAAAUGGGCCUAUGGGCCAUACUGUUAUCUGAAUAAGGGGCUAAGGCCCAGUUUAUUGUAAUCUGAAAAGGGCUCUGGCCCAGUACCACUGUUACCUGAAUGGGAUUAGGCCCAAUGGGCUUGAGCUGACUUGGACUUUGAAUGGGUUUUCCUUACACACUGAGUUUGCCCAAACUCACCCCUUUUAUUUUCAUCCACGCAGGAAAUCCCCAACCAUAGUGGGCUUGGAGCUGUGAGGGAAUUCGGAGUGGCCACCCGUUCUGAAAGUUUGAUUUUCUUCCGGUGAACUGGACAUCCUUUUAAUUACGUUUGAGGUUUUGGGCUUUUAAAUGUAAUAAGGCCGCUUAUUUAUUUUUGAUGGUUUUUAAUAUGUAUUACUAAGAUAGGUAAUACUUAUUUUAACUGUUGAAAUUGGAUAGCUUUAGGGCGCGUUUUCAAAAACAACAGUUGAUUUCAAAAUAACACGACAACAAGCAAAGCUUCUGCAAUGAAAGUAUUUUCCAAAAUUAAUCACUUUUCCUAAAAAUGACUUAAUCGAAUCGGUUUCCUAGAAAUAUCCAUGACGUUAAGGUGUGGCAAUGGCGGUAUGCAUGUCUAGGAUUGGAUCCGAAGGGAGCUUGGUACUUAAGCAGUCCGAUGGACUCACCACCUCUUUUCCGGUUUCCUACCUGGUGCACAGCUUCCAUUCACUUUAACCAUUAAUGAAUUAAUCUUUUGAACAUCAAGUACGAUUUUCUAGACUUAGAAUGGAAAUUUUUUUUUAACGUUUUUGAUGUGGCAUGCCGGAUCCGGCCAUAACUUCUGGGCUGGGUUUGGGGUGCUACAAGCUACAUUGGAGUAGAUCGAAGUUACAAGGCAUAUAUCAAAAAAUGCAGUGGAUUGAACCAAAGCUACAAGAUGCGAUGGACUGGAAAGAGACUACCUGAACAAGAAGAGCACCAAAGAAGUCAAGACUCGGCAAGACUGGGCAAAAUUGGCCUUUCUUUGUGUUUUGCUCUAUUCCCGUUACACGACAAUGAGCAAAGAGGGGUAGCUGUUGUAGGCCAAUUUUGGGCCAUUUUACAAAAUACCCACAGCCCAAUUUUACCCAUACUUAAACCAAUACCCAUUAGCCCAACUAACCCAUCAGCCCACCACCCCAAAUUACCCGGGCCCGAAUACAAAUAACCCAAAACCCAGUUACAACCAGACCCACUACCCAAUUACAAUAACUAAACCUACCCAAGCCCAAUACUCAAAACUAGCCCAAACCUAAGAAGCCCAAUCCCUAACCCAACUCUAGACUUAGGGUUUCAAAAAAACUGAAACCUUAAAUUAUCUCAGCGCCGCAACCACCCCUGACCAUCCACCUGCUCCACCGGCCAUACCCUGUAGAAACAAAACAGAACACGCAACAGAAAAAGAAGGGAGAAACAGACAGUGUGACAAAUAGGCUAUAAAGCCGAAUGAAAAUUUGUAAAUGGGGAGUUUUUUUCGAAUGUAAAAAAGAAAAAAACAAAUCAAUACAAAAAGAGAACAUUGAGAAGAAAUCGAGAAAAAAAAGAGAGAAAGGUGAUUCUUUAUUCCUUUACUGUCAGUAUUCUUAGAUAAACAAAAAGCAUAAUACUCUAUCAACUCUUACCUUGUUUGGAGGGGGUAAUCGGAGGAGUGUAGAACCGAG